Molecule: ribosomal RNA, 253 nt
Filed under: uncultured bacterium
Lineage: Bacteria
Also listed under: 1 other name
Description: partial 16S ribosomal RNA
Rfam family: Bacterial small subunit ribosomal RNA
Source: RNAcentral
UACGGAGGGUGCAAGCGUUAUCCGGAUUUACUGGGUUUAAAGGGUGUGUAGGCGGACUUUUAAGUCAGUGGUGAAAUCUCGGGGCUCAACCCCGAAACUGCCAUUGAUACUAUUAGUCUUGAAUACUGUGGAGGUGAGCGGAAUGUGUCAUGUAGCGGUGAAAUGCAUAGAGAUGACACAGAACACCGAUUGCGAAGGCAGCUCACUACGCAGUGAUUGACGCUGAGGCACGAAAGCGUGGGGAUCAAACAGG